UGGGGAAUAUUGGACAAUGGGGGGAACCCUGAUCCAGCAAUGCCGCGUGUGUGAAGAAGGCCUGAGGGUUGUAAAGCACUUUCAGUGGGGAGGAGGUUUGAUUGGUUAAGAGCUGAUUGAAUGGACGUUACCCACAGAAGAAGCACCGGCUAACUCUGUGCCAGCAGCCGCGGUAAUACAGAGGGUGCAAGCGUUAAUCGGAAUUACUGGGCGUAAAGGGUGCGUAGGUUGUUAGAUAAGUUAUCUGUAAAAUCCCCGGGCUUAACCUGGGCAGGUCAGAUAAGACUGUUUGACUCGAGUAUAGGAGAGGGUAGUGGAAUUUCCGGUGUAGCGGUGAAAUGCGUAGAGAUCGGAAGGAACACCAGUGGCGAAGGCGGCUACCUGGCCAAAUACUGACACUGAGGCACGAAAGCGUGGGGAGCAAACAGGAUUAGAUACCCCCGUAGUCC
RNAcentral lists this ribosomal RNA (449 nucleotides) under uncultured bacterium. RNAcentral's name for it is "bacterial SSU rRNA". It matches the Rfam family "Bacterial small subunit ribosomal RNA", at positions 355 to 796 of the family's 1533-position model. The record is from RNAcentral.